This 309-nucleotide long non-coding RNA is filed under the name Cricetulus griseus (Chinese hamster). Its description in RNAcentral is "lncRNA (ENSCGRG00015032513.1)". Lineage: Eukaryota; Metazoa; Chordata; Mammalia; Rodentia; Cricetidae. The record is from RNAcentral.
AUUUAAAAUAUAAUUUUAAGAUUAAUUUGAAUGGAGGUACUAUACAUGGAGAAUAAUGUUUCUUCCAAAAUUCACAGAAUACAAAGAAAAAAACCCACAAUACCAGAUUUGGGAUACUUUCCUAUGCUUUGUUGGUCAGAGAGGUCUCAGAAGCAUCCAAAGCAAUAUGGAUUAUCAUCACUGCUUUUGAUUGGUUGCCCACAAGAACAUGAAGGUAGCUACAUGGUGGCAUCUCCCUGGAGGUUCCUUUCUCUGUGUUCCUAUUCCCUGCAUUUAUUCACCAACCAAUAAGAGAAAUGUUCACAGCAC